Molecule: long non-coding RNA, 1295 nt
Organism: Felis catus (domestic cat)
Lineage: Eukaryota; Metazoa; Chordata; Mammalia; Carnivora; Felidae
Exons: 6
Source: RefSeq, a predicted model, not a curated record
CGCCCCUCGAGGGCAGGACUGUAGGGCCUUGCAGUCUUGGGGCCACUGCCGCCGGGGCCUUGGCUGGUUGGGCGGUAGUCGGCAGGAGGACGCAGCUUUGCACUAAAGUCGGGGAGGGCGCCGAAAGCCGGGGUAAAGGAAACAGAAUCUCUGAAAGGUGAUGUGGCUGGCCUAGUCACACAGUUAUCAGAGUCAGGCAGGAUUUGAAUCCACAUCUUCUUGACUCUAGAGGCCAGGCUCUGGACAACUGUGCUACAGUCGCCUGUUUGUGGGGCCUCUGCUCCCGACCCCAGCUGUCUGCCUGACUCAGCAACUGUGGGUGGCCUUACUCCCAUGCGUGGGCAGCAGAGCUGUUGGGAAGACUGACAUGAAGAGAGGGGAAGUCCAAAGGAUGCCCAGUGGAGAUGGGUGGCACUGAGACUUGAACUCUGAUCCACUGGACUCUAGAGGCAGUUCUGCCCAACUCUUAAUGGACGGACAGACUGUGGUGAAGUUGAACCUUCUGCCAAAGAAAACUCGUUGAUGCCCGCAAAACCAGCCAGCCGGGGAGGAGGCUGCUCUGGAAUGUCAGAGGGGGGUCACUAAGCUGUUUGUGAGCAGGCCAACACAGAAAUACACCCUAAUGAAGGUUAUGGCCUUGGCUUUCUCUUGCUCCUUUUUGCCUCCUGACCAACACUGGUGCUUCCGCCUAUGGCCCCACACACAUGCUGUGCCUCUUGUUUCUAGGAGAACUGAACAAGAAUGGCGUGUGUGAGAGAAUCCACUAUAAAGUUAUCACCACGACCCCUACCCUUCCCAUUGAGCCGGAGGGACUGGACAAGGAGAAAGGCCACUUCUGGAUAAAAGUCCCUAGGUGUGGCAGUCACAAGAUAACUGAGGUCAAGCAGGAGAAAGCAGAGGCUGUUAUAAGGACUAGAACUCUUCCUCCCAAGUUCUCCUUUGCAAGCAUAUAGGUAAUGAGCUCUCUGUCACUGGAAAUAUGCAAGUGGAACCUGGCCGAUCAUUUGGCAGAGGCUGUAAAGGAGCUCUCAACAUCUGAUGGGAAACUGGGCUGUAUGGCUUCUGAGCAGCAGUUUGUCUAAGGGGUUAAGAACAUGGGCUUAGCUGGCAGUGGCCUCUGGUUUAAACCCCAGCUUUGCCAUUUCCUAGCUCUCUUCCUUCCAUCUUCAGGUAACCACGAUUCUGACUCCUAUCAUCACAGAUUUAUCUUGCCCAUUCUAGAAAUUCAUACAAAUGUCAUCACACUGAACAUUCUCUUGUAUCUGGCUUAUUUCAUUCAACAUUAUGUUCAUGAA